Molecule: transfer RNA, 67 nt
Filed under: Marmota monax (woodchuck)
Lineage: Eukaryota; Metazoa; Chordata; Mammalia; Rodentia; Sciuridae
Description: tRNA.Ala
Source: RNAcentral
GUUGUGCUCAGUGGUAGAGCGCUUGCCUAGCAUACACGAGGCACUGGGUUCCAUCCCCGGCACCACA